This 518-nucleotide ribosomal RNA is filed under the name Reptantia sp. MCZ IZ 133024. RNAcentral describes it as "partial 16S ribosomal RNA". It matches the Rfam family "Bacterial large subunit ribosomal RNA", at positions 1817 to 2597 of the family's 2925-position model. The record is from RNAcentral. Lineage: Eukaryota; Metazoa; Nemertea; Enopla; Polystilifera.
AGUUUCUUGUUCUUUUUUAAGAAAUGUUUUCUGCUCGGUGAUGUUAAACAGCCGCGGUAAUUUGACCGUGCGAAGGUAGCAUAAUCAUUUGCUCUGUAAUUUAGGGCUGGAAUGAAUGGAAUAACAGAGAACUGUCUUUCUUUUCUUUUUUGGUGGAAUUUGUUUUUUGUGUGAGGAAACACAAAUGAAGUAAAGGGACAAGAAGACCCUUUUGAGCUUUAUUUUAUUUUAUUUUUUUAUAUUAAUUUAGGAGUGAGAAAAAUUUGGUUGGGGCGACCGAGGAAGAGAAAAUCUUCCUUUAGGUUUAGUAUUAUAUAUUGUCUGCUGUGUAUUAUUUGUAUUAAUUAUUAAUUGAUCCUUGUGUUUUGAUUAAAAGAUUAAGUUACCAAAGGGAUAACAGCGUAAUUAUCUUUGUGAGUUCUUAUUAAAGAGAUAGAUUGCGACCUCGAUGUUGACUUUUAGUUCCUUUUUGGUGUAGUAGCUAUAUUGUAGGAGGUCUGUUCGACCUUUAAAUCUAA